UUGACGGGACCGCACAAGCGGUGGAUGAUGUGGUUUAAUUCGAUGCAACGCGAAAACCUUACCACCUUUGACGUGGCAGGAAUCCCGAAGAGAUUUGGGAGUGCUCGAAAGAGAACCUGCACACAGGUGCUGCAUGGCUGUCGUCAGCUCGUGUCGUGAGAUGUUGGGUUAAGUCCCGCAACGAGCGCAACCCUUGCCAUUAGUUGCUACGAAAGGGCACUCUAAUGGGACUGCCGGUGACAAACCGGAGGAAGGUGGGGAUGACGUCAAGUCCUCAUGGCCCUUAUAGGUGGGGCUACACACGUCAUACAAUGGCCGGUACAGAGGGUAGCCAACCCGCGAGGGGGAGCCAAUCCCACAAAGCCGGUCGUAGUCCGGAUCGCAGUCUGCAACUCGACUGCGUGAAGUCGGAAUCGCUAGUAAUCGCGGAUCAGUAUGUCGCGGUGAAUACGUUCCCGGGUCUU
RNAcentral lists this ribosomal RNA (464 nucleotides) under uncultured Allobrachymonas sp. RNAcentral's name for it is "bacterial SSU rRNA". It matches the Rfam family "Bacterial small subunit ribosomal RNA", at positions 910 to 1382 of the family's 1533-position model. The record is from RNAcentral. Lineage: Bacteria; Pseudomonadati; Pseudomonadota; Betaproteobacteria; Burkholderiales; Comamonadaceae.